This 438-nucleotide ribosomal RNA is filed under the name uncultured haloarchaeon. RNAcentral describes it as "bacterial SSU rRNA". It matches the Rfam family "Archaeal small subunit ribosomal RNA", at positions 1 to 436 of the family's 1478-position model. The record is from RNAcentral. Lineage: Archaea; Methanobacteriati; Methanobacteriota; Halobacteria; Halobacteriales; Halobacteriaceae.
AUUCCGGUUGAUCCUGCCGGAGGCCAUUGCUAUCGGAAUCGGAUUUAGCCAUGCUAGUCGCACGGGUUUAGACCCGUGGCGAACAGCUCAGUAACACGUGGCCAAACUGCCCUGUGGACGGGGAUAAUCUCGGGAAACUGAGGCUAAUCCCCGAUAGGGCUUCCAUCCUGGAGUGGAGAAAGUCCAAAAGUUGCGCUGCGGCACCACAGGAUGUGGCUGCGGCCGAUUAGGUAGACGGUGGGGUAACGGCCCACCGUGCCAGUAAUCGGUACGGGUGAUGAGAGUCAGAGCCCGGAGACGGUAUCUGAGACAAGAUACCGGGCCCUACGGGGCGCAGCAGGCGCGAAACCUUUACACUCCCCGACAGUCCAAUAGGGGGUUUCCGAGUGCGAGGCCAUUCAGUCCUCGCUUUUCUGGACCGUAAGGAGGUCCAAGAAU